AAUAAAAAGAAAAGUCCUCGCCUCAACCCUUAACUCUUGUGGGACAAAGAUAGGGCAAGCGAUCCCCCUUCUGGACCUGUCCCGUUAUUAUUCCUAAAUAUUUUUUGAUUCCGUCUUUUCAGCAAUCUGUACCUCAAUACAUUCUUAUAUGGCAGCAUAGCUCUUGAUUGGAUUCCCCACACACCCCCACCCCCCCCCUUUGAAGAUGUUGUAUUUUGAUUCCUUUGAGCCUUUGUGCACUUGUUUUUACUUAUUCUAUUUAUUUAAUUUAUGCAGGAUGCUGUACAAGAUAUUGAGU
Molecule: unclassified non-coding RNA, 298 nt
Filed under: Hevea brasiliensis (rubber tree)
Lineage: Eukaryota; Viridiplantae; Streptophyta; Magnoliopsida; Malpighiales; Euphorbiaceae
Source: RNAcentral